ACUCAAAUGAAUAGACGGGGGCCCGCACAAGCAGUGGAGUAUGUGGUUUAAUUCGAAGCAACGCGAAGAACCUUACCAGGGCUUGACAUACAGUUGAAUAUGAUAGAGAUAUCAUAGUCCUUCGGGACAGCUGUACAGGUGGUGCAUGGUUGUCGUCAGCUCGUGUCGUGAGAUGUUGGGUUAAGUCCCGCAACGAGCGCAACCCCUGUUGUUAGUUGCCAGCAUUAAGAUGGGCACUCUAGCAAGACUGCCGGUGAGAAAUCGGAGGAAGGUGGGGACGACGUCAAAUCAUCAUGCCCCUUAUGUCCUGGGCUACACACGUACUACAAUGGCUAUUACAAUGGGAUGCGAAAGAGUAAUCUGGAGCCAAACCACAAAAAUAGUCCCAGUUCAGAUUGUGGGCUGAAACCCGCCCACAUGAAGUCGGAAUUGCUAGUAAUGGCAGGUCAGCAUACUGCCGUGAAUACGUUCCCGGGCCUUGCACACACCGCCCGU
Molecule: ribosomal RNA, 495 nt
Filed under: uncultured bacterium
Lineage: Bacteria
Description: partial 16S ribosomal RNA
Rfam family: Bacterial small subunit ribosomal RNA
Source: RNAcentral